UACCUACGGGACGCAGCAGUGGGGAAUAUUGCACAAUGGGGGAAACCCUGAUGCAGCAACGCCGCGUGAGUGAAGAAGUCAUUCGUGAUGUAAAGCUCUAUCAGCAGGGAAGAAAAUGACGGUACCUGAGUAAGAAGCCCCGGCUAACUACGUGCCAGCAGCCGCGGUAAUACGUAGGGGGCACGCGUUAUCCGGAUUUACUGGGUGUAAAGGGAGCGUAGACGGCCAGACAAGUCUGAAGUGAAAAUC
Molecule: ribosomal RNA, 249 nt
Filed under: uncultured bacterium
Lineage: Bacteria
Description: partial 16S ribosomal RNA
Rfam family: Bacterial small subunit ribosomal RNA
Source: RNAcentral